GUUUUGGGCUUUGCAAAUAGGUUGUCUCUGGGAAUUUAUCCAUUUCUUCUAGGUUGUGCAAUUUGUUGGCGUAUAGUUUUUCAUGAUCUCCUCUUACAAUCCUUUGUAUUUCCGUGGUGUGUGUUAUUUCUUCUCUCUUGUUUGUGAUU
Mustela erminea (ermine) is the source of this 149-nucleotide long non-coding RNA. RefSeq lists it as uncharacterized. Lineage: Eukaryota; Metazoa; Chordata; Mammalia; Carnivora; Mustelidae. The transcript is spliced from 3 exons. The record is from RefSeq and is a predicted model, not a curated record.